RNAcentral lists this ribosomal RNA (457 nucleotides) under uncultured bacterium. RNAcentral's name for it is "bacterial SSU rRNA". It matches the Rfam family "Bacterial small subunit ribosomal RNA", at positions 340 to 786 of the family's 1533-position model. The record is from RNAcentral.
UACGGAAGGCAGCAGUGGGGAAUAUUGCACAAUGGGCGCAAGCCUGAUGCAGCCAUGCCGCGUGUAUGAAGAAGGCCUUCGGGUUGUAAAGUACUUUCAGCGGGGAGGAAGGCGAUGCGGUUAAUAACCGCGUCGAUUGACGUUACCCGCAGAAGAAGCACCGGCUAACUCCGUGCCAGCAGCCGCGGUAAUACGGAGGGUGCAAGCGUUAAUCGGAAUUACUGGGCGUAAAGCGCACGCAGGCGGUCUGUUAAGUCAGAUGUGAAAUCCCCGGGCUUAACCUGGGAACUGCAUUUUGAAACUGGCAGGCUUGAGUCUUGUAGAGGGGGUAGAAAUUCCAGGUGUAGCGGUGAAAUGCGUAGAGAUCUGGAGGAAUACCGGUGGCGAAAGGCGGCCCCUGGGACAAAGACUGACGCUCAGGUGCGAAAGCGUGGGGAGCAAACAGGGAUUAGAUACC